This is an RNA transcript of Globicephala melas (long-finned pilot whale), 7497 nucleotides long. It is a transcript of the gene named SRR1 domain containing, with no coding region annotated. The record is from RefSeq and is a predicted model, not a curated record. NCBI's taxonomy places the organism in Eukaryota, Metazoa, Chordata, Mammalia, Artiodactyla, Delphinidae.
GGCCUCCCUAGGGUCAUAUUCAUAUCCGGGUGCCUGUGGAGGCGGCAUCUAAGCCCGUGGAACCAAGGACUGCAAUCUGAAACCCCCAUCCCUUGUUCCCAUAGGACUGGGCCCUACACUGCCAAGGUCCACUCGCUUAUCUCUGAAAGGUCCAGAAGAAGCCGCUAAUGGUCCGUCGGGGACAGGGCAAGUGUUGGGAUGUGGCCAGAGAAGGCUGUGGCCUGGGAAGUGGCAGUAACGAUCGGGGGAGUCGAGACGUGGCCGGCAAAGGCCUGUGGGUGGUGGUGAUGGUGUAGGAAGUGGCCUCAGUGUGUCAGCAGAGCAGGAAAAGGGGCGCUAAUGAAAGCGAUCGGUAACCGCCGGCAGCAGUGGGAAGUGUCUGGCCUCAGCUCCAGGGGGCUGGGACUGGUGGGCAAAGGUGCGGGGAUCAAUCGGGGCCGGGUCACAGCGCGGAGGGGCCGCCAAAAGGCGCUCUCGGCCGGGGUCCCGCCCUUUGGUGUCCCCGCGCCCCCGGGCGCCGCCCACCCGCCGGAGUAGCCAGGCAGCCCGGGGAUACGGGAUCAAGGCUCGGGACUCGGGACCCAGAGGUCCCAGCGACUCCCGCCCGAUACCUACGUGCGCGGCGGAGAGGCCCCAGGGUUACGCGCCACCUGCGCUUACCGCCCCCUAAAGUUCCCGCAGAGCUGGCGCGCGCCGAUGACGUCAGAGACCAAUGGCGGCGGCGGCGGCGCUGGAAGCCUGGCAAGCGGUGUCUCGUCGGAGAAGGCGCUCGGCGGCUCUGCGUCCGCGGCGUAGGGAGGCGGCGGCGGUGGCGGCGGCGGCCCGGGACCCGGGAGCCCAGCCCGAGGUGGACGGCGGAGACGUGCUUCGUCGCAUCCAGGAAGCCAGGGAGGACCUGCUUAUCUCUGAUUUCUGGAGUUCAGCACUAGAAACCAUCAACAGGUGUCUUAGGAAAUAUCUGGAACAGCUGAAGGCCCCUGUGGGGCCUCUUUCAGAAGCCCUUGGAAACCUGCAUCUCGACUCAUCACCAGGUGAGUCAGAUGUGGCCCCUGGCUCCGUCCCAGGAGAGACCCCAGUCACAGGAUCCUGCCGUUUGAAGUGUGUGUGUUACGGCGUUGGGAACUUCGCCACCUGCAUCAUAGCUAGAAACCAGCUCGCAUUUUUGCUUCUCUUUCUGGAAGAGUGCCAGAUCCCCAGAAGUCACUGCUGGGUGUAUGACCCUCUGUUUAGCCAGCUGGAAAUUGCGGUUCUUAGCACCCUUGGUGUGGUUGUUCUCAGUGAGAACGAGGAAGGAAAACGGAGUGUGUACGGCGAGCCCACCGUCUUUUACAUGCUCCACUGUGGGACAGCGCUCUACAACAACCUUCUAUGGAGGAACUGGUCCAUAGAUGCCCUUUCCAAGAUGGUCAUCGUUGGGAACAGUUUCAGAGGACUCGAGGAAAGGUUGUUGACAAGGAUUCUGCAGAAACAUUAUCCGUAUGUUGCAAAGAUUUUGAAAGGACGGGAGGAGCUGGCAUUCCCUCAGACUUCACAGUACAUGGACGUAUUUAAUGACACCUCCGUCCACUGGUUUCCUGUACAAAAGCUAACACAACUCUCCACGGACACUUGGGCCUUCCGGGAAGAACCGGAUUACCAGGACUGUGAGGGUCUCGAGAUCAUCAGGAACAAGACAGAAGACCCUUCAGCCACUGACUUGAACCCGCUGUGAUGUGUCGCCACGGAGGGACUGCAGUGAGUCCCCUUUCGGACAGGGCAGGAAGUACGUCAACUGUGAUUUAAAAUACUAUUUAAAAUACUGUUUGUUUAUUCACCAGUCUGUCUGUGGCAGGUGCUGCGGUCUACUUGGCCAUGUCAAUCAGGCUCUGCAGGGAGGUGGGCACCCAGGUCUUCUCCCCCUGCACGAACACCACGCCCCUAUCGAUGUAGAUGACGAUGCGGCCGAAGGUGUACAGCUGCUUCCCUUCGUGUCGCUUCCCGAUGACGGGCAUGAAGACGAUGUUGUGCUCCUCGGCCUUGGUCUCAAUGAGGUCUUUAAAGUUCAUGGGCACAGAGCUGGCAGCCACGCCGAUGCCUCUCUGGGCCAUGUUCUCAGCCUCUCGUCGUUCCUGCAUGGCCUCAUACUGGAAAUCCUUCCUCCGCUCCGUGUGGGUGAGCAUCGGCACGUGGCCAGGGCUCAUACAGGCAGUGCCCCCCGUCCCCCCCGAGGAGCACCUGUGGAAGGCGUCUGCCGAGAGGUCCUGCCCACCGUGGGACAACAGCUGGUCGUUCUCCAGGAGGCUUUUCCACUUGGAGAUGAUCUCGGUGCCAUACGUACAGUCCUGAGGAGAAACACAUCAGCCGAGAGACAGCCGGCUGACGGCCCCCUUGCCCCCGGGCCUGUCCCGGAGGAGAGGCAGCGCAGUGGACUCCCCGCCCACUCACCUUGAGGGGGUCCCACUCCUUGAAGUAGUCCUUCAUGAGCGGGUAGACGAUGGCCACGGCCAGGUCCACGCGGUCGGACAUCCUGUACUCCUCGUAGUACUUGUCCUGCAGGGUCUCGAAGAUGCGGGCGCACUCGUCCAGGGUGAGGGGGUCACCGCAGCCGGGCUGCAGGCGCCGCUCGCACUCCUCCACGAGCCCCAGGACCUUGCUCAGGUUGGAGAUGGCCCGUUCCUCGUGCUCCAGGACCUCCGACACCUUUUCCAGCUCGUGGGACAGGUUGACCACCAUGUCUCGCUCGUACUGCAGCUGCCGGUCGUUCUGGAUGAUCUCCUGCUCUGUGAGGUCGAUGAGCAGCUGCAGGUUGUGCUCCAGCUCCGGCAGUGCGAAGCCGGGGGCCUUGGCCUCCUUGCCAGGCUGGGGCGGCUGCUGUGACUGCAGCGGGAGCCCGUCGUCGGGGACGCUGUGCUUGUGGCUGAUCUGGCUGUAGCUGUAGUAGACCUUCUGCUCCCGGCCCGUCAUGUCUAUGACCUUGGAGAAGGCGGCAGAGGGCACGUGGCUUAAUGCUCACCACUGCUGCCCUGUUAGACACACACCUGAGCCCGGGGAAGGCACGACGCUAGUGGGAACGUGUCAAAACCACACCGUUCAGCAGAGCUGGAGAAGGGGUGUUUCUCAAAGUGGGGCCUGGGCUGCGCUAGAUUGGAAGAGACUCCAGGGACACAACAACCAACCGGUUGUUGAAUCGGUCCCUCUGGACCAACCGGAUGGAGAAGACUUUUUAGCAAAACUGACGAAAUAUGAAUGUGGACUAUUUAGUUGAGAUGAAAAUCUAUUUUCAUGGAAAAGUAGAGGCUGUACUGAUCAAAGCAGGCAAUGGGACAACAAACACAAUCAAAAUCGUAUUUUGGUAAAAAAAAGUGCAUAUUUAGACAAAAACACCUGGAAGGAUGCCUCUAUUUCCUAAUUGUCUAAAAUGUACUGCAUACUGCUCUGUAGUAAUAGUUUUUUUAAUUUAAAAACAACAUGAAACAUACAAAAGGCAACCGAGGAAAUGAGCUAACUUCAAUGUCUGAAGGAGACUGAGGAAACGAGAACGUGGCUGUGCUGAAACAGAAGCAUUGCCAUCACCUGAGGUGAGAGUGUAAUCUCUGAACCACCUGUAUUACAAAUACCUGGGGGAAAAUAACGGAGCAUGAGGCCUCAGGCCCCAUCUAGAGCUACAGCCUCAAAAUCUCCAGCUGUGACCUGGACAUCUGCGCUUCUCACCAGGUCCCCAAGUAACCUGAUACACAACACCCUGACCUCUGAGAACCCCCACUCGACUUUCUGUAAUACACACGCACUGUAUCUCCUACGCUACGUCCCCUACAACAGACAUCUGUCACCAAUGUUCUCUGGCCACUAGGGACAGUAAUGGAAAAGCUCAGAACAGUGGUAAUCAUCUUAAAUGCGAUGCUGGGAUGCCCUGAGGGCCCACUCCUGCUCGAGAAGUGAGUUAGUGCAACCUUCCCACGAUUUAAGAGCCUUGAUGACUUUAACCUGUGACUGCACUUCUAGGACUCUAUCCUUAACAGCUGUAAAACAAAGACAAACCUUUAUACACAAACUAACCUGCCCCAAACCAAACCAGAAAUGUUAAAGGUCUAGCAACAGAAUGACAGGAGCAUCAUUAAAUCCACUGACGGCAAGCUCCAGAAAGCUGGGGACAUUGUUCGAUUUAGCACUUUCACGCCACAGGGAGCGCUUGGCACAGGGGUGGGACGGCGAUGAACCUGAGCCUGAGUGCGGGGAGUGGGCACAGGCUGCUUCAUGCCACAGAGGCAGCACACACACAGCCGGGAUGGAAGGCCCGCGGGAACCUUACGAGCAAAUGUUCGGUGACUGCUCUGGUGUGUGGGAUAACUUUGUGUCUUCCAAGCCCCCAUCCUGGACCAGGCAUCCACGGGCCCCAUACCUUGACCUGAGAGAGCUCCUUCUGGGGAGCAGCGAGCUUCUUGCUAAUCCUGCCCUUGGCUUUCAACUCUUCCACUGUCUUGUAAGAGUAUCUGGGCUUCUUCUUGCUUCCACUGGGGUCUUUCCUCCACUGGCUCAGCUCCUUCUGAAAUUCCUGAGUCAGAGGGAUACAGUCCAUCACAAGAAGGAAGGCCACUUUUUUCCACAGGUGGGGUCGGUGAGACUUUCACAAGGUUCUGUGCUGAGGACCGUGCUGUGUAACACUAAACCCAGCCAAGGACACUGCUUGACACCCGCUCCCCGCCCUUACCAAUGCUGAGACCCCUUCCCCACACACCCAACCUUAAGUUCUCCCCAGGACUUCCUGCAACCACACUGUGGUUACUUGUUGACCGCGUCCCUGUCCACCAGGCUCCACACCCGUUCAGCGUGGGACACCAGCCUCCAGCACGGUGAGUGGCACACGGUAGCUGGGCGAGUGAGCGAGCAGAUGAACAAACACCAGUUGAAAGGGGCACAGACAGCACCCGGCCCGUCUCCUGACUCACCUCCUCGGCUUCUUCUUCGGAGUCAGCCAUGGGGAAGUCUUGCAGGGGCUGAGUGGUGCGCUCUGAGCCAUAUGCCCCCACGGCGCCCUUCCCCUUUCUCUGCUUGGCUUCGAUUGGGUUGAUGAUACCUGACAAAUUUCAGCAAAAGACAGAGACUUCAGGUCACGGCAGUUGCCAUGUGUGUGAGCCACUCAGGGGGAUCACACUCCUGGGUCCUUACUCAAGACGACGCACCACCCAGGAAGGAGAGUGCACUUCUGCCCUCGUAACACUGUUCCACUCCUGGGUGACCGGAAGUGUCUGCAUUUAUGCUGCCACAGAGCAGUGUGCGGAUAUCACCAUAUGUAUGUCCUAAACACAGAUUUCCAUUUCCACUUGGAUUCAUUGUUUUAGUGGAUGGGAAUAUUCAUUUAUAACUGGAAACUCUGGCAUACUAGAGUCUACACUUUGUUAACUUGGAAGCCUAUUAAUACAGAGAGGGCAGUAAUUCAGAUAAUAUACUAAUUCUGAUUAAAGUGAGGUGAGGCUGCCAUUUAAUAUGAAACGCCAUCUAUUUUACUCAGUACUUCAUGUCUCCCAUGCUUAACUUGUUCUAUAACAUGUUUAAGCCUUGGAAAUAAAUGUGUCUUUUCUGUAAAAAAGUUUACAAACAGGACUACAACAUUUCAGUGAAGAACUGCCCUCACCCCAAACUUCCCACCACACUCCUUCCAGUUAGUACCGUGGAAAUGCCACGUUAGAACGUCCCUUACGCAUUCCAGGUCACCUUUUCCAUGUUCACUCAAGUCCAUGGAUUUUUCAUACAGCUAACAGUUACCUGUCCUGCCCCUUUGUGAGCAGGGACCACAGACUCCUAUGCCUUCAGGGCCCAGAAACAUUAACAGGAACAAGGAAAGUGGGCUGGGGUGUGGAGAAGGCUUCCAGAAUAAGGUCGUGGCUGCUACCUGGGGCAGGAAGAUUCAGCGAAACCACUCACCGCCAAGCAAACCUAGAAUUCAGAUUUUUAAAUACUGGCAACCAGUUUGAUUUUUUUUAGAAACAACGGGCGGGCCAGAAAGAAGCCUGUUUUCAGCCUAUCAGCCUGCAGCCUAUUUGAACCCUAACCUCUCCCUCCUGCUAAAAUAAGUGUAUUUUAUGUAACUUGAGUUCUGAUAAAGUGCAGUGGCAUGGAGCACAACUGUCAUGUGCUGCCAGAAAAGCGAAAAAGCAGAGAAAAGGCAAACCACGCCCCAGCUGCUCUUCCGGCCUCUGCCUGGCCGCCCUCGUGUGAAACGGUGGAGUGGGGGUACCACACCUUGUGCGUUCUUCCCGAGGCCUCUUCCAGGGACAUAGCCCAUCUUCUGAAGAAGCUUCUGUCCAAUUCCUUUUGUGUGUCUUUCCCAGCUGCCAAAAUCCAUGAAAGACUUGGUUCCUCCUGCAAAACCUUUCUGGCUGGGUUUAAAAUUGCCACCCUGAAAAGAAGAAGAAAAAUCAAAAGAAGGAAAAACCUAAGGAAGAAAGCUUGGCUGAUGGGAACAUGGCUGGCAGUCACAGAGCAUUGUGAAAAGUAUCCUAUUGUACAAACCAAACAUCUGUGAUGUGUCUCAGUAAAGAGACAAGACUGCACUGCACAUAUCACCCCUCAGGGAAACCUACCUCACAGGGAGAGACCCACACAAGCGGCCUCCAGCUGAACCCCUCCCCCAGCAGAUGCUUGGGCCAAAGUGAUCUUCCAGGGGUAUUACUAAGGUCACAAUCCUUCAAUAAAAAUGCUACCGUUUUUAACUUCUUUGGUCCGAAAUCCUUAGGAAAUUCAUCCUGCUUAACAGGUUUCUCCUCAUCGUCGGAGCCUUCCAGCUCCGGCUCUUCUGCCGCCCCUUUCUUGAGCCCCGCGCUGAUGAAGUUGACUGGCGCCGAGUAGUCGCGGGCCCUGCGGGCAAACACAAGGCCCCACGGGGUCCAUGAGAACUCUCUGCAGGCAUCCCUUGGAGCAGCUUUGCUGGCCAGAGAACUUCCUUAGGGCGGACCUCGUGGGAUCCACUUUAAAGACCAACCCAUUGACUCGUAUCAAAAGGGCCCCAGUAAUCACGUUUGACAUUUUUGCCUGAUGUGUUCAAGUCAACUCCGUGGCUUAAGAGUUACCAAUAACAUACACACUAACAAACGUAGUAAGGUAGAUAGCUAGUGGGAAGCAGCCGCAUGGCACAGGGAUAUUGGCUCGGUGCUUUGUGACAGCCUGGAGGGGUGGGAUAGGGAGGGUGGAAGACGCAAGAGGGAAGACAUAUGGGAACAUAUGUUUAUGUAUGACUGGUUCACUUUGUUAUAAAGCAGAAACUAACACACCAUUGUAAAGCAAUUAUACCCCAAUAAAAAUGUUAAAAAAAAAAAGUUACCAAUAACAGAGUUGACUUAAAAUUGUAAAUAUGAUGUAACUGUCCACCUUCCUUUUACGUUUUUAAAAAAUUAACUUACUUUAAAAAGCAUUUGUGACAUUGAGUCGAGAUGGCAUCCCCCCCAAGACUCCAGGAGCACAUGUACAAAUGGAGCGGCUCUCAGAGAACACCUGCUGGACACCAGCAGAGGACCUCGGACA